CAUCACCUCGGGGUGGGGGGAGAUGCCUUAUUUUAGGGGUUUAGGAAGAUCUUGGAGCAGCAUCAGCCUGGGUGGAAAUGCUAGGAGGAGAACAUGGCUCAGUUUGGCUGGGGAGGGCAGGGAGGUUGUGCUGGGGGUGCUGCAUGCCGUGUUAGGGUGCCACAAGCUGUGGCUCCUGGUUCUUGUCUCGGCAGCAGUGGAGACACUGGCAUCUUCCUGCAGCCCCGAGAAGAACACUGCCCGGAGCCUGCAGCUCUUCCUGCCAGACCCCAGACCCAGGAAGAACAGGAGUGCUGGCUCAGUUUUGCCAACCAAGAGGAAGAUCCCGGGCGAGUCUCUUAUUAACCCUGGCUUCAAAAGCAAGAAGGCACCAUCUGGAGUGGAUUUUGAAGAUUCCUGACCUGGCUGUCCCAUCCCCUGAUGCCCAGAGCCUUGUCAACCACGUGUGUGGCUGGUGGAGGUUUUGCUGCACCCUGGGCCUGCCAAGCCCCUUGCGCCUGGAGAGGUGGACGGGGCAAGCAUGACCCAGAGGGCUGGCCUCAGCUGGUGUGGCAAGGCCAUUGUGGGGGACAGAUAGGGCAGGGGUAACAGGAGUGGUGGCUUUUCUCCCUGCAGCUCUUCCCUGCUGGCAGGGGCCACCUCUCUACCUCACUUGCCUUGAAUUGGUGGGGUUUUUAAAGAGCUUUUAUAUCAUGAUGUAACAAAAAGAUUGCCUGUGCUUAACUUACUGCCAGUAAAGGUGGUUUUAGCCAGCUGGUCUCUAGGAACCGGGAC
This 774-nucleotide long non-coding RNA is filed under the name Athene cunicularia (burrowing owl). RNAcentral's name for it is "lncRNA (ENSACUG00000014957.1)". The record is from RNAcentral. Lineage: Eukaryota; Metazoa; Chordata; Aves; Strigiformes; Strigidae.